AAACCAGCACCUCAAGUGGUCAGGAUGAUUAUUGGGCCUAAAGCAUCCGUAGCCUGCUUUGUAAGUUCUCGGUUAAAUCCAUAUGCUCAACAUAUGGGCUGCCGGGAAUACUGCACAGCUAGGGAGUGGGAGAGGUAGACGGUACUCGGUAGGAAGGGGUAAAAUCCUUUGAUCUAUUGAUGACCACCUGUGGCGAAGGCGGUCUACCAGAACACGUCCGGCGGUGAGGGAUGAAAGCUGGGGGAGCAAACCGGAUUAGAAACCCCGGUAGUCC
Molecule: ribosomal RNA, 274 nt
Filed under: uncultured bacterium
Lineage: Bacteria
Description: partial 16S ribosomal RNA
Rfam family: Archaeal small subunit ribosomal RNA
Source: RNAcentral